AUGAGGUUUGUGCUUUGCAGCAGCCUCCCACUCAGCCACCUCCCAGGGCUACGUUCAGCUCUGCUGCAGGCCUUCAGGGAGGGCCAAGCCCAAGAAGCAGCAAAGCAGCAAGCAGGAAUCCUCCAGGUUGCAUGUCUGGCAAGAGCUGUCAAAGCAGAGCACCAGAUAAAACAGCGGGGAUGUAAAGGAAGAUCUGGAUAUCAGCACGUGGUAUCACUUCCUUUUAGGAAGCUGACCGUCAAAAGCAGAAGUGUCACUUGCAAUUAGGAAAAACUCUCCUGCACACCUCAAAAUUUAUUAGUGGUAUGAAGGUCUGUCUGCUAAACUCUGCACUGAACAAAACAACUGCAGUUUUUCCUCUAGAAAAAUCAUUUGCAUCACCACAGCAAAUGUACCUCUAAUCAAAAGUGACUUUUAUUUAGAUUCCACCUUUACAAUCCUUAAAAUGUCAUACUUCUGAGAUGCCAGCAAGGAACGCUUCACAUAUUCUCAUCUAGGAAAUGCAAUUUUUCCCCAGAAGUUUAUUGAAUAAACUGUUUAUUUUGAAAUAUACUUUGACAUAGUUCUGCAAUUUAAAGACACAUUAGAAAAUAGCAUUUUCAAGAUCAGAGAAAAGUGUAUGAUGCACUUAGAAGCUUCUGUUUAUAGUUACCGGGAUGAAAUUCAGGAAUAACUCAAUUAAAAAUACACAAACCCCAAAAUUACUUAGUGCAAUUUCGAGCAUCAGGCAGCUUUUUCUUCUAUAUCUUCCUAAUGUGUUUUCUUUGUGAAAUGACUUUGGUAUUUCUGUGAAGGACGUUGCUUCCCGCAAAAAGCUUCUAACUAAGAGCUUUGCUAAUUGCCAGACCACCACAUUUACAAAAAAAAAAUGUGAGUGGACAGUAACUAUUGCACCUAACAGAUGUACAUCAGCUCAAGUGAAUUUGCAGAGCUAGGGACAACUGCUCAGAAUACUGAUAGACUCAAAGAUUUUGGUAUUCUCUCAUCACCUUUCUUUGAAAUAUUUGAUUAACCUAGGAAGACACAAAUAAAUCAAAUCAGACAAAGCCAGCAGAACUUAUUCAGCAUAAGGCUAGCAUUUGUGCCAUUAAUACGACUAAUUGCUAUCAAUCAAUUUAUUUUGCUAGCAGUGGAGAUAAAAAAAAAUCUGGAGCAAAGGGCUUGCCUUUCAGAGGAG
Molecule: long non-coding RNA, 1177 nt
Filed under: Anas zonorhyncha (Eastern spot-billed duck)
Lineage: Eukaryota; Metazoa; Chordata; Aves; Anseriformes; Anatidae
Description: lncRNA (ENSAZOG00000016478.1)
Source: RNAcentral